CGUGUAGGCGGUUUGGCAAGUCAGAGGUGAAAUGCCCCGGCUCAACCGGGGACCUGCCUUUGAAACUGCCGAACUUGAGGCCGUGAGGGGAGACUGGAAUUCCUAGUGUAGCGGUGAAAUACAUAGAUAUUAGGAAGAACACCAGUGGCGAAGGCGAGUCUCUGGCACGGUUCUGACGCUGAGGCGCGAAAGCUAGGGGAGCGAACG
RNAcentral lists this ribosomal RNA (207 nucleotides) under uncultured bacterium. Its description in RNAcentral is "partial 16S ribosomal RNA". It matches the Rfam family "Bacterial small subunit ribosomal RNA", at positions 568 to 774 of the family's 1533-position model. The record is from RNAcentral.